Caenorhabditis elegans is the source of this 146-nucleotide non-coding RNA. The record is from Ensembl. Lineage: Eukaryota; Metazoa; Nematoda; Chromadorea; Rhabditida; Rhabditidae.
CUGAAACCUGCCUAAUCAACUUUGAUAGCUUAUAUCUGGGUGAAUUAGAAAUUAGAAAGAAAAAAAGAAUCUAUAUUUUGAUAGUUGGCAAUUUUUGAAAAACCCAAUCACAUCUAAGAUAUGAGCUCUCAAAGUUGAGCAGUCGU